RNAcentral lists this ribosomal RNA (253 nucleotides) under uncultured bacterium. Its description in RNAcentral is "partial 16S ribosomal RNA". It matches the Rfam family "Bacterial small subunit ribosomal RNA", at positions 524 to 776 of the family's 1533-position model. The record is from RNAcentral.
UACAGAGGGUGCGAGCGUUGUUCGGAAUUACUGGGCGUAAAGGGCUCGUAGGUGGCCAACUAAGUCAGACGUGAAAUCCCUCAGCUUAACUGGGGAACUGCGUCUGAUACUGGAUGGCUUGAGUUUGGGAGAGGGAUGCGGAAUUCCAGGUGUAGCGGUGAAAUGCGUAGAUAUCUGGAGGAACACCGGUGGCGAAGGCGGCAUCCUGGACCAACACUGACACUGAGGAGCGAAAGCCAGGGGAGCAAACGGG